Molecule: transfer RNA, 73 nt
Filed under: Talaromyces pinophilus
Lineage: Eukaryota; Fungi; Ascomycota; Eurotiomycetes; Eurotiales; Trichocomaceae
Also listed under: 2 other names
Description: tRNA-Asn (GTT) (tRNA-Asn-GTT-2-1)
Rfam family: tRNA
About the family: Transfer RNA (tRNA) molecules are approximately 80 nucleotides in length. Their secondary structure includes four short double-helical elements and three loops (D, anti-codon, and T loops).
Source: RNAcentral
GUCUCUAUGUCCCAGUGGUUAAGGAGUCCGGCUGUUAACCGGAAGAUCGGUGGUUCGAUCCCACCUAGGGACG